This is a long non-coding RNA of Pollicipes pollicipes, 248 nucleotides long. RefSeq lists it as uncharacterized. The transcript is spliced from 3 exons. NCBI's taxonomy places the organism in Eukaryota, Metazoa, Arthropoda, Thecostraca, Pollicipedomorpha, Pollicipedidae. The record is from RefSeq and is a predicted model, not a curated record.
GUUUGCGGUCGGACAGACAGCGCUGAACACGAUGCGCGGCCUGCUCCUGUUGACCACCGCCUCGCUGGCGCUCUCGCUGCCCGUGGGAGAUAUCGAGACCAUCUUCAAGGCCAAGCUUGAUACGAAAGAUAUCUGCUUCGAAACGGGACCGGUGAAGGGUGAUCCCUGCCACUUCUGCAAGUGCUUCACGCCAGACGAGUGCAUUCCGGUGUCUGCCGAAUGCGACUGGGACCGGCGCGAGAGUGAGC